GAAAAGCACUCUGAAGAGAGAGUCAAAGACCGUGAAACCGCUCAGAGUAUAAGCCCAUGGUGUCUGGAAGGCAUUGCACCGGUCAUGUCUCGUCAGAGACCUCUGUCUAGGGACUCUUGGUACUGGCUCGUGAGGUAGGGGCAUUCAGUUGCACCCGCCGACGUGUAGGGAGGGCGCAUCGUGGUUGAGCACGUGUGUUUUAUCGCACGCGUGUCUUUCGGCCACGUCGCUUUCUUGGGCGCGGACGUUCAAGGCCAAGAGUUCGAUGGUGCGCUUUGCCCACCACAGCACGUUGUGAGGUCACCCACAGACGCGAGUUGCCGAUCGCGCGUUCGUCUUGCUCGCAUUGUUGUGUCGCAAUAUAUGUGUGUGUGCUCACACACACGCAUAUGACACUAGCAGCAAGUUUUCUCGAACCGGGCGGCACCGAUUUCGGUCGCGUGUUCUGGUACGAUCCUCUAGCGACGAGCUGCUUUCUGGUUAUGAACUGACGUCCGGGCUUCUCUCAUGUGCCGAGAGUUGCCUCAAGCGGCUUGAGCCAACGGGGCCUAUGUGUCACGUGCCUCCGCAGGGCGUUGGUCAGAGUGGUGUCAAGUCCAGCCCCAUGGGUCACGUCUCGAAACACGGGCCAAGGAGUAUAGCAUGUGUGCAAGUCUAAGGGUCUCACAAAACCCGCAGGCGAAAGUGAAAGCAAGAUUGUGGCAGACGGCUUCGGCAACUCUGUCAGGUCGUGUGUGUCUAAAAGCACCGGCUUAUACAAAGCCGAUCCUGCUAUCACGGCAAUGUCUUGAGGCAGGCGCAGGCUUCGGGCUCGCCUACAGCAGUGGUGGCCUUUGCGGCUCUGCUGCGAGCACCGUAGAGCAUGCAUGCUAU
Molecule: ribosomal RNA, 873 nt
Filed under: Eriopisa elongata
Lineage: Eukaryota; Metazoa; Arthropoda; Malacostraca; Amphipoda; Eriopisidae
Description: partial 28S ribosomal RNA
Rfam family: Eukaryotic large subunit ribosomal RNA
Source: RNAcentral